UACGAAGGGGGCUAGCGUUGCUCGGAAUCACUGGGCGUAAAGCGCACGUAGGCGGAUUGUUGAGUCAGGGGUGAAAUCCUGGAGCUCAACUCCAGAACUGCCUUUGAUACUGGCGAUCUUGAGUCCGGGAGAGGUGAGUGGAACUCCGAGUGUAGAGGUGAAAUUCGUAGAUAUUCGGAAGAACACCAGUGGCGAAGGCGGCUCACUGGCCCGGUACUGACGCUGAUGUGCGAAAGCGUGGGGAGCAAACAGG
This 253-nucleotide ribosomal RNA is filed under the name uncultured bacterium. RNAcentral describes it as "partial 16S ribosomal RNA". It matches the Rfam family "Bacterial small subunit ribosomal RNA", at positions 524 to 776 of the family's 1533-position model. The record is from RNAcentral.